RNAcentral lists this microRNA precursor (66 nucleotides) under Ornithorhynchus anatinus (platypus). RNAcentral's name for it is "Oan-Mir-15-P2c_pre stem-loop". Lineage: Eukaryota; Metazoa; Chordata; Mammalia; Monotremata; Ornithorhynchidae. The record is from RNAcentral.
UAGCAGCACGUAAAUACUGGAGUUUGGGGAUGCCUCGUUGCUCUCCAGUAUUGCAUUGCUGCUUGA